RNAcentral lists this ribosomal RNA (427 nucleotides) under uncultured bacterium. Its description in RNAcentral is "bacterial SSU rRNA". It matches the Rfam family "Bacterial small subunit ribosomal RNA", at positions 355 to 774 of the family's 1533-position model. The record is from RNAcentral.
UAGGGAAUAUUGGACAAUGGGGGCAACCCUGAUCCAGCCAUGCCGCGUGAGUGAAGAAGGCCCUCGGGUUGUAAAGCUCUUUUGUCCGGAAAGAAAAGCAUUCGGUGAAUACCCGGAUGUUCUGACGGUACCGGAAGAAUAAGCACCGGCUAACUUCGUGCCAGCAGCCGCGGUAAUACGAAGGGUGCAAGCGUUACUCGGAAUUACUGGGCGUAAAGCGUGCGUAGGUGGUUGUUUAAGUCUGAUGUGAAAGCCCUGGGCUCAACCUGGGAAUGGCAUUGGAAACUGGGCAGCUAGAGUGCGGUAGAUGGUAGUGGAAUUCCCGGUGUAGCAGUGAAAUGCGUAGAGAUCGGGAGGAACAUCUGUGGCGAAGGCGACUGCCUGGACCAGCACUGACACUGAGGCACGAAAGCGUGGGGAGCAAACA